RNAcentral lists this ribosomal RNA (249 nucleotides) under uncultured Bacteroidota bacterium. RNAcentral describes it as "uncultured Bacteroidetes bacterium partial 16S ribosomal RNA". It matches the Rfam family "Bacterial small subunit ribosomal RNA", at positions 355 to 601 of the family's 1533-position model. The record is from RNAcentral. Lineage: Bacteria; Pseudomonadati; Bacteroidota.
UAAGGAAUAUUGGGCAAUGGACGCAAGUCUGACCCAGCCAUCCCGCGUGCAGGACGAAUGCCCUAUGGGUUGUAAACUGCUUUUGUUUGGGAAGAAAUGUAUUCUUUUAAGAGUAUUUGACGGGACCAGACGAAUAAGCACCGGCUAACUCCGUGCCAGCAGCCGCGGUAAUACGGAGGGGGCAAGCGUUAUCGGGAAUCACUGGGUUUAAAGGGUGCGUAGGGGGCCAGAUAAGUCCGAGGUGAAAGU